RNAcentral lists this ribosomal RNA (605 nucleotides) under uncultured bacterium. Its description in RNAcentral is "bacterial SSU rRNA". It matches the Rfam family "Bacterial small subunit ribosomal RNA", at positions 242 to 842 of the family's 1533-position model. The record is from RNAcentral.
UAGCUAGUUGGUAGGGUAAUGGCCUACCAAGGCGACGAUGGGUAGCCGGGGUGAGAGGGUGGCCGGCCACACUGGGACUGAGACACGGCCCAGACUCCUACGGGAGGCAGCAGUGGGGAAUUUUGCGCAAUGCUCGUAAGAGUGACGCAGCGACGCCGCGUGAAUGACGAAGGCCUUCGGGUCGUAAAGUUCUUUCGACAGGGAAGAAAAUGCCUAUAAGUAACUGUGUAUGUAUUGACGGUACCUGUAUAAGCAGCCCCGGCUAACUCCGUGCCAGCAGCCGCGGUAAUACGGAGGGGGCGAGCGUUGUUCGGAGUGACUGGGCGUAAAGAGCACGUAGGCGGUGUUGUAAGUCAUUAGUCAAAGACUAGAGCUCAACUUUAGUAAGGCUAGUGAUACUAUAAUACUAGAGUAUCAGAGAGGAUUGCAGAAUUCCUGGUGUAGCGGUGAAAUGCGUAGAUAUCAGGAGGAAUACCGUUAGCGAAGGCGGCAAUCUGGCUGGAAACUGACGCUGAGGUGCGAAAGCGUGGGUAGCAAACAGGAUUAGAUACCCUGGUAGUCCACGCUGUAAACGAUGGAUGCUAGGUGUUGGGCUUUUAAGUUCA